CGAAAGUCGGACUAAUACCGUAUAAAUAUCCUAUGCAGGCANCUAACUAGGAUUAAAGGUUUAGCGGUAAGGGAUGGGGAUGCGUCUGAUUAGGCAGUUGGCGGGGUAACGGCCCACCAAACCGACGAUCAGUAGGGGUUCUGAGAGGAAGGUCCCCCCACAUUGGAACUGAGACACGGUCCAAACUCCUACGGGAGGCAGCAGCG
Molecule: ribosomal RNA, 206 nt
Filed under: uncultured Prevotella sp.
Lineage: Bacteria; Pseudomonadati; Bacteroidota; Bacteroidia; Bacteroidales; Prevotellaceae
Description: partial 16S ribosomal RNA
Rfam family: Bacterial small subunit ribosomal RNA
Source: RNAcentral